GUCUCAGAACUGUGGCCCAUUCACCCCUUCCCUCAAGACAAGAGUGUGGCCAAGCAUCAAUCUCACCCCCAGAGACCAGACGGUGUCCAGGUCUUGGGCAGACGAAACCUGCUCCUUGGGGAUGGUCUUCCUGGCUGUGCUUCCAAAGGGCUGGCCUGCAAUCAGCUGGUUUUCACUUGAUCCUUUCGGGGUUUGCAUUAUAUCUGACUGAAGGAAUGAACUGGGAGAGAACAGCAGAGCCGCAGCGGAAUGUGGAAAGGCCCACGUCCAGACUGUUCCCAUUCUGAUUUAAAAGCCUGAUGAAGGAACAGCUGAACUCAGAGAAACAGCAGGUGAAAAGCCUUUCUACUCUGUGUUCUCCAAUUCAUCCUAAAAUCAAGACCAAGGUAGAAUUCUCGAACUUGGCCUAUUCUGAAAAAAAUGGACAUGGCUGGGACAGAGAGCUUGUGUGAAUAUUCCCAAUUGUGAACAUGGAAGCUAUAAAUUGAGGUGUCAGAACCACAAGAUGGAAGUACGUUGGAUUUCUGAGUCACCACCUGGAGGAGAGCUUCCCUGCAGCAUUGCUGGAAUCUGAUGUGAACUAGAUAUUCAUCUUGAUCGUGUUGACUUGAACCUAAUUCAGGCCUAAGACAUAAUAUAUACUGCAUAAUAUAUGCCGUAUAAUGAUAAUAUAUUUAUGCAGCCUUUAUUGAUAUGAGUAGUGGUUUAUCUCAGUUUUAUAAUAAAAAUCUCUCAAAGAACAUUGACUCCAAGGAAUAACAAUCACAAAAGGAUUACAGCUUUGUUUAACACUUUCUGCAAAUCCUUGAAGCUGAUCUUUCCUGUUGUUUCUAAUCCCAAUAGCCAGCCUAAACCUUUUGGUGUAAUCUCAUGUAUUCUGACCUCUGUUAUUUCCUGCUGCUUAAUGAUCUUUCUAUAAAUUGUAUGGGAAAUGAAGCAAAUGUAAUUACAGUGUCUGCCAGCCCUGAUGCAGAUAAAUAGGUGGGAGUCUGGCCAAGUGUCUCCCCAAGCUAGCCUUUGGUGUCUUUCACUCACAGCAGAAAGAAAUAGGUCAUAAAUUACAGCACUGAUUUGUUCCAAUGAUAUCAUUAGCUCCUGGAAAACAAGGAUCAUGAAAAACCCAUUUCAAAUGAACAUAUGAGUCAAUACCAACCAAGCAUCUUUUGGAAAAGAGCCCUUAUAAAUUCAUACUAGAAUUCUGACUCCUAAGUGAAUAUCUCUGGAUCUUCAGAACAUAGAAGACUUAGCUCCAGCCCAUGCAUCAGUCCCUUCAGACCAUAGAGUCAUAACCAGGCCUAUUGAAAGAGCUGGUUACAUGAGACAGUCAGAGAUUUACCUAGGUGAGAAAAUAAAGAUUAGAUGGUUUGAAGCAGAGUUCUAGCCCUUCCAAAUCAGACCUCCAACCCCUUUCUUAAUUCUAUAGUUUGUAGUUUUCAAAGGAGAAGUUGUAAUAAAGAGUAAGUAAACUAACUUCUUUUUUUCUUAUGGUUUUUGUUUGAUAAUAUGAGGAUAAAAGCAUACCCUUUUUUGACCUAUCCCAGGAUAAAAUGCAGGUGGAGAAAAGGUUUUCCGUAUUGUCUUUAGCCUUGACACAACAAAAUAGGAAAAGAUAUUUUCCGAUCUGGGUUGAGUAGAUGCAAAGAAGUGUUUUAAGGUACAUCUGUAGAGCACACUCAGCACUUGGGGACUCAGGUGCCUCAAGAGAAGCUAGAGACCUAAUGUAGGGAUAUAGAGGCCAGGAGGACACACUGGAACACAGAAGAUGACAGCUUUUGAAAGAGCUCAAGAUUCUAAUUUCUUGAACCAGAGGACAGAUUCUCCUCUAUGUCCGUUCACACUUUCAGACUUUACUCUGCAUUAGCCCUCUGUUCCCCACACCUGCUUCUGGACCCCUGGGUGGUUACACACUCUGACUUCAUCAACCCUUAUCCUUAUUGUAGGGAUAUGAAAUUUAAAAUUGGCAUCUUCCACAGCCAAUUCUGGUCACUAUUCUUGUUACUUUAACUGAUAUGCAAUAAAGAAUAUGCCUGACUUUGUCCCUGGUUCCUGGGAAGUAGCAUCAAAACCUUUAGAAUUUCUUAAGUGGUAGGAGUGUCUAUUAUUCAUGGUGAACUCCUGGGAUCAAACUUGAUAGUCUGUGCUAAAGAGAUGACUCAGGACAGGAGCUGGCUGCUCCUGCCAGAAAGACCAACCAUGUGAUUAGAGGGUGGGGCUUUGAGCCAGGUGAUAUCAGCUCAGUCUCCAGGGAGCCAAGGGGAGCUAGAGAUUGAAUUCAACUGCAAGGCCAAAGAUUCCAUCAGUCAUGAUUGUGUAAUGAUACCUCAAUAAAAACUCUGGGCAGCAAAGCUCAGUUGAGCUUCACAGGUUGUUAAUAUUCUGAUAAUGUCACACAUUGAUAUGCCAGGAAGGUAAUGCAUCCUUACUCUUUGGGGAUAGAACAACAGAAGCUUUGUGUUGAACUCCCCUAGACCUCAUUAUAUGUGUAUCUCUUUCCCUUUGGCUGGUUCUGAUGUGUAUCCUUUUGCUGUAAUAAGACUACAACUGUAAUUUAUAGGACUUUCUUGAGUUCCAUGAGUCAUUUUAGUGAAUUAUUAAUCCUGAGGGGGUUAUGGGAACCACCAAAUUUGUAGCAAGCUGGUCAGGAGUAAGAGUGGCCUGUGAGCCUUUGAACUUGUGUCUGAUGUCUUUAGUUUGUGUAGUCUUGUGGAAAACUGUGUCCCUAACCUGUAAAGUAACUGGUGUCAAAAGUCAGUGAAACUAGGCAUAAUUAGAACUCAUGGACAUUCACACCCAUUCCACUUCAGUCACAUGCUUCCGAGGCCUCACUGAGUUCCUUUUACACAUCUAUCUUCUCUACUUUGGUUCUUAUUCCGUAUGAUGGCAAAAAGAAAUACAACUGGACUCUAAGAUGAUGGUGACUCAUG
Long non-coding RNA from Homo sapiens (human), 2924 nucleotides. Ensembl annotates it as TMC3 antisense RNA 1. Its record names the gene TMC3-AS1. Lineage: Eukaryota; Metazoa; Chordata; Mammalia; Primates; Hominidae. The record is from Ensembl.